RNAcentral lists this ribosomal RNA (460 nucleotides) under uncultured bacterium. RNAcentral's name for it is "partial 16S ribosomal RNA". It matches the Rfam family "Bacterial small subunit ribosomal RNA", at positions 338 to 795 of the family's 1533-position model. The record is from RNAcentral.
CCUACGGGCGGCUGCAGUGAGGAAUAUUGGUCAAUGGGCGUGAGCCUGAACCAGCCAAGUCGCGUGAAGGAUGAAGGUUCUAUGGAUCGUAAACCUCUUUUAUAAGGGAAUAAAGUGCGGGACGUGUCCCGUUUUGUAUGUACCUUAUGAAUAAGGAUCGGCUAACUCCGUGCCAGCAGCCGCGGUAAUACGGAGGAUCCGAGCGUUAUCCGGAUUUAUUGGGUUUAAAGGGUGCGUAGGUGGGCUUUUAAGUCAGUUGUGAAAGUCUGCGGCUCAACCAUAGAAUUGCAGUUGAUACUGGCAGGCUUGAGUAUGGUUGAGGUAGGCGGAAUUCGUGGUGUAGCGGUGAAAUGCUUAGAUAUCACGAAGAACCCCGAUUGCGAAGGCAGCUUGCCAAGCCAUGACUGACGCUGAUGCACGAAAGUGUGGGGAUCAAACAGGAUUAGAUACCCUUGUAGUC